AAAGUGAAUAGUGAAAUCUGGUGGCUCAACCAUUCAGGCUAUUAUUCAAACUCACACACUCGAGAACAGCAGAGGUAACUGGAAUUUCUGAGGUAGGGGUAAUAUCCGUAGAUAUCAGAAGGAACACCAAUGGCGUAGGCAGGUUACUGGGCUGUUUCUGACACUGAGGCACGAAAGCGUGGGAGCGAACCGGAUUAGAUACCCGGGUAGUCCACGCCGUAAACGAUGGAUACUA
RNAcentral lists this ribosomal RNA (235 nucleotides) under uncultured Candidatus Saccharibacteria bacterium. RNAcentral describes it as "partial 16S ribosomal RNA". It matches the Rfam family "Bacterial small subunit ribosomal RNA", at positions 584 to 818 of the family's 1533-position model. Lineage: Bacteria; Candidatus Saccharimonadota. The record is from RNAcentral.